RNAcentral lists this ribosomal RNA (440 nucleotides) under uncultured bacterium. Its description in RNAcentral is "partial 16S ribosomal RNA". It matches the Rfam family "Bacterial small subunit ribosomal RNA", at positions 338 to 795 of the family's 1533-position model. The record is from RNAcentral.
CCUACGGGAGGCAGCAGUGGGGAAUAUUGCACAAUGGGGGAAACCCUGAUGCAGCGACGCCGCGUGAGUGAAGAAGUAACUCGGUAUGUAAAGCUCUAUCAGCAGGGGAGAAAAUGACGGUACCUGAGUAAGAAGCCACGGCUAACUACGUGCCAGCAGCCGCGGUAAUACGUAGGGGGCAAGCGUUAUCCGGAUUUACUGGGUGUAAAGGGAGCGUAGACGGCAGUGCAAGUCUGGAGUGAAGGGCGGGGGCUCAACCCCCGGACUGCUCUGGAAACUGUACGGCUGGAGUGCAGGAGAGGUAAGUGGAAUUCGUAGUGUAGCGGUGAAAUGCGUAGAUAUUAGGAGGAACACCAGUGGCGAAGGCGGCUUACUGGACUGUAACUGACGUUGAGGCUCGAAAGCGUGGGGAGCAAACAGGAUUAGAUACCCUUGUAGUC